CAUUAAAUGGCCGAAAGUAAGCAGUGGAAUUUUAAACCAUCUGAUAAUAUAGUUACGUAUAUUUUUAAUGG
RNAcentral lists this transfer RNA (71 nucleotides) under Psylliodes heydeni. RNAcentral's name for it is "tRNA-Lys". The record is from RNAcentral. Lineage: Eukaryota; Metazoa; Arthropoda; Insecta; Coleoptera; Chrysomelidae.